Molecule: long non-coding RNA, 249 nt
Filed under: Lathyrus oleraceus (garden pea)
Lineage: Eukaryota; Viridiplantae; Streptophyta; Magnoliopsida; Fabales; Fabaceae
Description: Pisum sativum (pea) long non-coding RNA (PSAT_LNC026324)
Source: RNAcentral
UGUAUCAUUAUCUCUUGAUGCAGUAGUUCCAAGCCUAUAUGAAGGUCUAAAACAGGUGUCAUAAUUGCACUGCAUUAUUCCAAGCAAACUUACAAUCAUAAUUGACGACAACCUCCCACACAAUUUUGGCAGAAUCAGAAUUAGGAAGAUUUGGAGAUCAAAGUUUCUCCUAUUAAAAUAAUUAUUUCCUUGGAUCAAUUUUAUUUGAUUUUUUAUUUUAUUGUUAAUUGUUUUCUUAGAGUGAAUAAA